This 301-nucleotide ribosomal RNA is filed under the name uncultured bacterium. RNAcentral's name for it is "partial 16S ribosomal RNA". It matches the Rfam family "Bacterial small subunit ribosomal RNA", at positions 509 to 812 of the family's 1533-position model. The record is from RNAcentral.
CAGUCGCCGCGGUAAUACGAAGGGUGCAAGCGUUACUCGGAAUUACUGGGCGUAAAGCGUGCGUAGGUGGUGGUUUAAGUCCGUUGUGAAAGCCCUGGGCUCAACCUGGGAAUUGCAGUGGAUACUGGGUCACUAGAGUGUGGUAGAGGAUAGUGGAAUUUCCGGUGUAGCAGUGAAAUGCGUAGAGAUCGGAAGGAACAUCUGUGGCGAAGGCGACUAUCUGGGCCAACACUGACACUGAGGCACGAAAGCGUGGGGAGCAAACAGGAUUAGAUACCCCGGUCCUGUCUCUUAUACACAU